This 612-nucleotide ribosomal RNA is filed under the name Bacillus sp. (in: firmicutes). Its description in RNAcentral is "bacterial SSU rRNA". It matches the Rfam family "Bacterial small subunit ribosomal RNA", at positions 547 to 1161 of the family's 1533-position model. Lineage: Bacteria; Bacillati; Bacillota; Bacilli; Caryophanales; Bacillaceae. The record is from RNAcentral.
GGAAUUAUUGGGCGUAAGCGCGCGCAAGUGGUUUCUUAAGUCUGAUGUGAAAAGCCCACGGCUCAACCGUGGAGGGUCAUUGGAAACUGGGAGACUUGAGUGCAGAAGAGGAAAGUGGAAUUCCAUGUGUAGCGGUGAAAUGCGUAGAGAUAUGGAGGAACACCAGUGGCGAAGGCGACUUUCUGGUCUGUAACUGACACUGAGGCGCGAAAGCGUGGGGAGCAAACAGGAUUAGAUACCCUGGUAGUCCACGCCGUAAACGAUGAGUGCUAAGUGUUAGAGGGUUUCCGCCCUUUAGUGCUGAAGUUAACGCAUUAAGCACUCCGCCUGGGGAGUACGGCCGCAAGGCUGAAACUCAAAGGAAUUGACGGGGGCCCGCAAAAGCGGUGGAGCAUGUGGAUUAAUUCGAAGCAACGCGAAGAACCUUAAAAGGUCUUGAAUCGUCAGAAAACAAAAAAAUAGGGCUUCUCCAUCGGGAGCAGAUGAAAGGGGUGAAAGGAUAUCGUCAGCUCGUGUCAUGAAAUGGUUGAGUUAAGUCCCCGCGACGGCGCAACCCUUGGACUGAGUAGCCAUCGAAUAAAUAGGCAAUACUAAGAUGAAAUGCCGGGUGAC